This 501-nucleotide ribosomal RNA is filed under the name uncultured bacterium. Its description in RNAcentral is "partial 16S ribosomal RNA". It matches the Rfam family "Bacterial small subunit ribosomal RNA", at positions 30 to 523 of the family's 1533-position model. The record is from RNAcentral.
AUUGAACGCUGGCGGCAUGCCUUACACAUGCAAGUCGAACGGCAGCACGGGUGCUUGCACCUGGUGGCGAGUGGCGAACGGGUGAGUAAUACAUCGGAACGUACCUUAUCGUGGGGGAUAACGCAGCGAAAGUUGCGCUAAUACCGCAUACGCCCUGAGGGGGAAAGCGGGGGACCGUAAGGCCUCGCGCGAUUAGAGCGGCCGAUGUCUGAUUAGCUUGUUGGUGAGGUAAAAGCUCACCAAGGCGGUGAUCAGUAGCUGGUCUGAGAGGACGAUCAGCCACACUGGGACUAAGACACGGCCCAGACUCCUACGGGAGGCAGCAGUGGGGAAUUUUGGACAAGGGGGGCAGCCCUGAUCCAGCAAUGCCGCGUGAGUGAAGAAGGCCUUCGGGUUGUAAAGCUCUUUUGUCAGGGAAGAAACAGCAGCUCUAACACAGUCUGCGAAUGACGGUACCUGAAGAAUAAGCACCGGCUAACUACGUGCCAGCAGCCGCGGUAA